CGGGCCGAGAGGCGCUGCGACGGAUUUUCUUCCGCCACGCUCGGCCUGCACCACGAUUCCAAGGGCGCCUCCCGCGA
RNAcentral lists this non-coding RNA (77 nucleotides) under Amycolatopsis australiensis. Its description in RNAcentral is "SAH sequence". It matches the Rfam family "SAH (S-adenosyl-L-homocysteine) riboswitch aptamer". Lineage: Bacteria; Bacillati; Actinomycetota; Actinomycetes; Pseudonocardiales; Pseudonocardiaceae. The record is from RNAcentral.